GGGAACUCAGGACAAUCUGUAUUAGAACGCCUACUGACAACAGCAGUGACAAGAGUGAAUGGAGCCUUGGCAUUGUUAGAGAGCUGCACUAAUGCAUGUAUUAUGAAAAUGAGUAAACUAGUAAGGAAGCUGCCUUAGUUAGCCUGGUAGAAGUUAAACACAGAUACAGGCUAGGGGGAGAAUAUCUUGAGAGCAGCCCUGGGGAGAAGAAUUUGUGCACGUUGGUUGAUGAAAGACCUAACAUGAGCCAGCAAUGUGCGCUUGCAGCCCAGAAGGCCAACUGUGUCCUGCAUUGCAUCAAAAGAAGCAUGACCAUCAGGUUGAGGGAGGUGGUUCUGCUUGUCUGCACUUGUGAAAACCCACCUGGAGUACUGCGUCCAGUUCUGCAGCCCCCAACAUAAG
RNAcentral lists this long non-coding RNA (402 nucleotides) under Gallus gallus (chicken). Lineage: Eukaryota; Metazoa; Chordata; Aves; Galliformes; Phasianidae. The record is from RNAcentral.